GAAGUCUGCGGCCUUGCCUAAUAGAACCGUAAUAGUCCUCGGGGAGGCGUGAUAAUGACAUCCUCCUUAAAUAAAAGGACUUAAUGGAGAUUUCCCAAAUUUGAAAACCACAUUUCCACUAGCAACCUACUCAGUGAAUGCUCUGGAGAGGAACUCAUGGGGAUCUGCAGUGGGGGAACGGGCGAGGAGGCUCGGAGCCUGCGCAGAGCAAGCGGUUCCGCACUGCCCUACUCUCCCAGGCAGGACAAAGGACCCACCCGAGGUUACAAACCACGAAGGUGGGCCGCCUUCUCCCUUCCAAUCAGCUCCCAAAGAGCAAAAAAGCUCAGACUCAGCAAAUCCUGUGUGACCCAAGGAAUAGGAAGCCCUGUCUCUCCAGUCUAGAAGCUGCUCCAACCUGAGGUGGCCAAUGAGGACAGUUGCCGUCUGAUUCUCAUAUUCUUGGGAAAGCAUUUCCCUUCUUGACAAAGAAACAAGCUGUGCAGGAUCCAGGCCACUAAGAAGACAAAG
This 510-nucleotide long non-coding RNA is filed under the name Cricetulus griseus (Chinese hamster). RNAcentral's name for it is "lncRNA (ENSCGRG00015032749.1)". The record is from RNAcentral. Lineage: Eukaryota; Metazoa; Chordata; Mammalia; Rodentia; Cricetidae.